Molecule: ribosomal RNA, 705 nt
Filed under: alpha proteobacterium T030
Lineage: Bacteria; Pseudomonadati; Pseudomonadota; Alphaproteobacteria
Description: bacterial SSU rRNA
Rfam family: Bacterial small subunit ribosomal RNA
Source: RNAcentral
UGAGUUUUGAUCCUGGCUCAGAACGAACGCUGGCGGCAUGCCUAACACAUGCAAGUCGAACGCCCUCUUUUAGAGGGAGUGGCGCACGGGUGCGUAACGCGUGGGAACCUGCCCUUAGGUUCGGAAUAACUCAGAGAAAUUUGAGCUAAUACCGGAUAAUGUCUUCGGACCAAAGAUUUAUCGCCUUUGGAUGGGCCCGCGUAGGAUUAGAUAGUUGGUGGGGUAAUGGCCUACCAAGUCGACGAUCCUUAGCUGGUCUGAGAGGAUGAUCAGCCACACUGGGACUGAGACACGGCCCAGACUCCUACGGGAGGCAGCAGUGGGGAAUAUUGGACAAUGGGCGAAAGCCUGAUCCAGCAAUGCCGCGUGAGUGAUGAAGGCCUUAGGGUUGUAAAGCUCUUUUACCAGGGAUGAUAAUGACAGUACCUGGAGAAUAAGCUCCGGCUAACUCCGUGCCAGCAGCCGCGGUAAUACGGAGGGAGCUAGCGUUGUUCGGAAUUACUGGGCGUAAAGCGCACGUAGGCGGCUUUUCAAGUCAGGGGUGAAAUCCCGGGGCUCAACCCCGGAACUGCCCUUGAAACUGGAUGGCUAGAAUACUGGAGAGGUGAGUGGAAUUCCGAGUGUAGAGGUGAAAUUCGUAGAUAUUCGGAAGAACACCAGUGGCGAAGGCGACUCACUGGACAGUUAUUGACGCUGAGGUGCGAA